UAAUUACUCAGGUUUCUAAGAGGUUCUGGGCCAUCAGUGUCUAGAAAGUUGGUGUUGCACCUAAAUCUAGUUUAAAGAAAUAUGUAUUUCAUCCAUGAAAUUGCCUGGGAUGAAAAUUAAUAAAAAAGCUCUCUGUAAUUGAGUGUUUGACAUGGUUUCAAUAACU
Octopus sinensis (East Asian common octopus) is the source of this 166-nucleotide long non-coding RNA. RefSeq lists it as uncharacterized. NCBI's taxonomy places the organism in Eukaryota, Metazoa, Mollusca, Cephalopoda, Octopoda, Octopodidae. The record is from RefSeq and is a predicted model, not a curated record. The transcript is spliced from 3 exons.